GAUGAAGAACGUAGCGAAAUGCGAUAAGUAAUGUGAAUUGCAGAAUUCAGUGAAUCAUCGAAUCUUUGAACGCACAUUGCGCCCGCCAGUAUUCUGGCGGGCAUGCCUGUUCGAGCGUCAUUUCAACCAUCAAGCCCCCGGCUUGUGUUGGGGACCUGCGGCUGCCGCAGGCCCUGAAAAGCAGUGGCGGGCUCGCUGUCACACCGAGCGUAGUAGCAUACAUCUCGCUCUGGGCGUGCUGCGGGUUCCGGCCGUUAAACCACCUUCAUAACCCAAGGUUGACCUCGGAUCAGGUAGGAAGACCCGCUGAACUUUAGCAUAUCAAUAAGCGGAGGA
This 336-nucleotide unclassified non-coding RNA is filed under the name soil metagenome. Its description in RNAcentral is "partial contains 5.8S ribosomal RNA, internal transcribed spacer 2, and large subunit ribosomal RNA". The stretch from base 1 to 120 matches the Rfam family "5.8S ribosomal RNA", at positions 35 to 154 of the family's 154-position model. The record is from RNAcentral.